GGAGUUAGCCGGUGCUUCUUCUGUGAGUGAUGUCCUUCCUGCCGGCUAUUAACCCGCAGGCCUUCUUCCUCACUGAAAGUGCUUUACAACCCGAAGGCCUUCUUCACACACGCGGCAUGGCUGGAUCAGGGUUGCCCCCAUUGUCCAAUAUUCCCCACUGCUGCCUCCCGUAGGAGUCUGGGCCGUGUCUCAGUCCCAGUGUGGAUGAUCAUCCUCUCAGACCAGCUACGGAUCGUCGCCUUGGUGAGCCGUUACCUCACCAACCAGCUAAUCCGACAUAGGCUCAUCCGAUAGCGCGAGGCCCGAAGGUCCCCCGCUUUCCCCCGUAGGGCGUAUGCGGUAUUAGCCUGGGUUUCCCCAGGUUAUCCCCCACUACCGGGCAGAUUCCUAUGCAUUACUCACCCGUCCGCCGCUCGCCACCAGGGAGCAAGCUCCCCGUGCUGCCGCUCGACUUGCAUGUGUUAGGCCUGCCGCCAGCGUUCAAUCUGAGCCAUGAUCAAACUCUGA
This 507-nucleotide ribosomal RNA is filed under the name uncultured bacterium. RNAcentral's name for it is "partial 16S ribosomal RNA". The record is from RNAcentral.